UGAGCGUAUUUUAGAUAGAUAUUUUAGUUCUUUGGCAAUUAUCGCUAUGCUUCACUGAACCAUGCCGCUGAUAAGAGUAAAAUUAACUACUGUCAACAGUUUCUGUGAAGAGGCCUACCAGUGAGGACUGAAAGAAAAAAUAUCGCGACCGAUCAGAAACAUUCCGAUGUUCAAAGUUCUUAGCAAGUGAAAAAAAAGUCUGGAUAGUUGAGCAUGGCGGUAAUCCACGUUAUUUCAAAAAUAAUAACUAGUUAGUGCCACAAGAAGCGAUGAGCACAAUUAGAAGAGACUUUCAACUUCAACAAAAACUCCGGCGAAAGGUUGGAUAAUAAGAACCAGAACGUAAUUAGAACUAUCACUUUUAUUUAUAAAAGUCAAGAAUUUACCUGAAGGACUAGUUGAGUAUGGGUGUUUACUUGGAAGGGCUGCAUUUCUGUGUUAGAAGAAAGGAUUAAAGGGAAUUAGCGAGCACACUUAGUGUUUCUGAGCGAAGAACCAACCCCUUAUGCUGCUAUUAAAACCCAUGAAGGAGAAUUAAACCGUACAAUGGGCUCAGUAAGUUCAACAAGUUUUUCUUGUUUGUAUUCAGUUUGUUAAAAAAAUACUUACAAGGGAAAUCGUAACAGCGUUAAUUAGCGUCGUUCGCAUCGCUUUGUAGUUCAUAAUUAGAAUAUUUAGUAAACAUUAGAGAUAAUGAGGGGAUGUGAUUUUAGGAGAAGUCACAUCCCAAAAGGAAAGUAAUCUACAGUGAAGUGUAUUUUACACGUUCUUUUUGGCGGAUAUUAAUGUUUUGAUUGAUGGCUUAACUUAUAUCACAGAUAAGAUCAUAUUUGCUGUUUGUACAGUUCCUAGGCCAAACAAAAAUCACGAGCAUAACCUUGAAUAGAUAAUAUAUCAGAAAAGAAAAUUAAAUCUACAUAAUGCGUUCAUCGAAAUAAAAUCCUUUGCUAAACAUAAUCCUCAUCGUAGGUGCUAGUUUCACUUAAAGGUUAUGUUUCUGUAUUUUUCAUAUUUUCAUAAUGCAGACUUCCCCAGAAAUCAUCCUGGUAGCAUCCCACUGAAGGCUCCUACAGUCUGCACCAUCAUUCCUCUUUGUAGUUAGAACUACCUGAAAUUGUUUACAACGGAAAAAAUUUGUUAAGAUACUGGAAAUUAAUAUUCCCCGCCAAAAAACUAGUGUUAUUCCGUAUGUAGCACAAAAAAUAACAACACAUAUUUGCUUCGUGACUAUACCUAUAGAAAAACAACAAAACACUGGGGUAAUUAUUAAAAGGCGCACAAAGAACUGGAGUUUUAUGACCCCUUAAUGGUGCGUCAUUGAGGAUGCGUUACGAAACAAACAAGCUGAAUUUAAAAUAUAUCUUCAU
Long non-coding RNA from Hydractinia symbiolongicarpus, 1367 nucleotides. RefSeq lists it as uncharacterized. The record is from RefSeq and is a predicted model, not a curated record. The transcript has 3 exons. NCBI's taxonomy places the organism in Eukaryota, Metazoa, Cnidaria, Hydrozoa, Anthoathecata, Hydractiniidae.